Molecule: ribosomal RNA, 468 nt
Filed under: uncultured bacterium
Lineage: Bacteria
Description: partial 16S ribosomal RNA
Rfam family: Bacterial small subunit ribosomal RNA
Source: RNAcentral
GACGAACGCUGGCGGCGUGCUUAACACAUGCAAGUCGAACGGAAAGGCCCUGCUUUUGUGGGGUGCUCGAGUGGCGAACGGGUGAGUAACACGUGAGUAACCUGCCCUUGACUUUGGGAUAACUUCAGGAAACUGGGGCUAAUACCGGAUAGGAGCUCCUGCUGCAUGGUGGGGGUUGGAAAGUUUCGGCGGUUGGGGAUGGACUCGCGGCUUAUCAGCUUGUUGGUGGGGUAGUGGCUUACCAAGGCUUUGACGGGUAGCCGGCCUGAGGGGGUGACCGGCCACUUUGGGACUGAGAUACGGCCCGGACUCCACCGGGGGGCAGAGGGGGGGAAUAUUGCACAUGGGGCGGAGGCCUGAUGCAGCACCCCCGCGUGCGGGAUGACGGCCUUCGGGUUGAAACCCGCUUCCGCCUGUGACGAAGGGGGAGUGACGGUAAUGGGUAAAGAACCCCCGGCUAACUACGUC